GGAGAGGUGGCAGAGUGGUCGAACGCGCCGCACUCGAAAUGCGGUGUACGGGCAACCGUACCGUGGGUUCGAAUCCCACCCUCUCCG
RNAcentral lists this transfer RNA (87 nucleotides) under Novosphingobium sp. Rr 2-17. It matches the Rfam family "tRNA". Rfam says of the family: Transfer RNA (tRNA) molecules are approximately 80 nucleotides in length. Their secondary structure includes four short double-helical elements and three loops (D, anti-codon, and T loops). Further hydrogen bonds mediate the characteristic L-shaped molecular structure. tRNAs have two regions of fundamental functional importance: the anti-codon, which is responsible for specific mRNA codon recognition, and the 3' end, to which the tRNAs corresponding amino acid is attached (by aminoacyl-tRNA synthetases). tRNAs cope with the degeneracy of the genetic code in two manners: having more than one tRNA (with a specific anti-codon) for a particular amino acid; and 'wobble' base-pairing, i.e. permitting non-standard base-pairing at the 3rd anti-codon position. Lineage: Bacteria; Pseudomonadati; Pseudomonadota; Alphaproteobacteria; Sphingomonadales; Sphingomonadaceae. The record is from Rfam by way of RNAcentral. RNAcentral also lists the same sequence under 1 other name.